Molecule: non-coding RNA, 74 nt
Organism: Halocaridina rubra (Hawaiian volcano shrimp)
Lineage: Eukaryota; Metazoa; Arthropoda; Malacostraca; Decapoda; Atyidae
Source: the annotation of a GenBank genome assembly
UCUCUGUGGCGUAGUUGGUAGCGUCUUUACUUAGUAAUUAUAAGUCCUAGGUUCAAAUCCCGGUCAGGGUAAAA